UGUGAAAAAAUACCAAUUAAAGCAGAGGGUUUCUUCAAAUAACAAGGAGCAAGGUCAACUAUUCAAUCAAAUGAUAUUAAGCAUUUUUCCCAUCUCUUCUUGAGAAACAAGUGGGCUAUUUCAUUGCAAAUUUGUGCUAAAUUUCAUAUGUGGUAGUUCCACCAAGAUCUCAUCUUUAGUUGGGGGAAGAAUCUACACGAAUUGGAUCUUUUGAGGAACAUAUCAAGAGAGCAUUGGAUUUGGUUAGACAAUAUGUGGUUGGUAAAUAAGGAUCGGUUUUUUAGGAAGGUACAAAAUGUAUAGUCAAAUAUUCAAUAUGAUUCCACAAGAUCCAGUUUUGUUCAAGUAACGGAUUCUAUCUAAUUGAAAUGAUAUUUUAAUCGAUCCAGAGAUCAUUUCAAUUCCAUGAGUAAUGAGGAUUCAUAAUAUCACACAUUGAUCAAUCAAAAAGAGAUUCAACAACUAAGAGAAAGAUCGAUUCUUUAGGAUCCUUCGUUUCUUCAAAUGGAACGAACAGAGAUAGAAUCAGAUUGAUUCCCUAAAUGCCUUUCUGGAUAUUCCUCAAUCUCCUGGCUAUUCAUGGAAUGUGAGAAACAGAUGAAUAAUCAUCUGCUUCUGGAAGAAAUCCUACAAGAUCCAUUCGUUCUUUUUUCUCUGACAGAUGGUCAGAACUUCAUCUUGGUUUGAAUCCUACUGAGAGGUCCACUAGAGAUCAGAAAUUGUUGAAGAAAGAGCAAGAUGUUUCUUUUGUCCUUUCCAGGUGAUUGAAAAAUAAAGAAAUAGUUAACAUAUUGAAGAUAAUUCCAUUUUUACAAAAUACCAUCUCAAUUCAUCAUAUUUCAUCAGAUUCAGGAUGUGAUAUGGUUCCAAAGGAUGAUCUAGAUAGUUCCAAUAAGAUUUCAUUCUUGACCAAAAAUCCAUUUUUUGAUUUAUUUCAUCUAUUCCAUGACCUCAAAAUAACAGGGGUCAAGGUCGGCCAGUGAGACAAUGGGGGAUAAGCUUCAUCGUCGAGAGGGAAACAGCCCGGAUCACCAGCUAAGGACUCUAAAUGACCGCUUAGUGAUAAAGAAGGCAGGGUGUAGAGACAGCCAGAAGGCUUACCUAGAAAUAGUCACCUUUGAAAGAGGGCGUAAUAACUCACUGAUUGAGCACUCUUGCAUCGAAGAUGAACGGGGCUAAGUGAUCUACCGAAGCUGUGGGAUGUAAAAAUGCAUCGGUAGGGGAGCGUUCUGCUUAGUUGGAAGCACCUAUGCAAGCAGUGGCAGACGAAGCAAAAGCGAGAAUGUUGGUUUGAGUAAUGCAAACAUUGGUGAGAAUCGAAUGCCCUGAAAACCUAAGGGUUCCUCCGCAAUGUUCAUCCAUGGAAGGUGAGUCAGGCCUUAAGAUCAGGCCGAAAGGCAUAGUCGAUGGAACACAAAUGACUAUUCUUGUACUACCCCUUGUUGGUCCCAAGGGAUGGAGGAGGCUAGUAUCCGAAAGAAGAUUAUUGGUUUUAGGAUGCAAGUUGCCCCUACUUUUUCAGGGUAAAAAGGGGUAGAGAAAAUGAACCAAGCAAAUGUUUGAGUAUAAGGCACUAUGGUGCUGAAAUAACCCAUGCCAUACUCCAAGGAAAAGCUUGAACGACCUUCAACAAAAGGGUACUUAUACCCAAAACCGACACAGGUGGGUAGGUAGAGAAUAUCUAGGGGCACGAGAUAACUCCCUCUAAGGAACUUAGAAAAAUAGCCCCAUAACUUCGGGAGAAGGGAUUCCUCCUCACAAAGGGGAUCACAGUGACCAGACCCAGGCGACUGUUUACCAAAAACAUAGGUCUCCAUAAAGUUGCAAGAUCAUGUAUAGGAGUUAAUGCGUGCCCAAUGUUGGAAGGUCAAGGAAGUUAGUGACUUGAUGACAGGGGAGCCGGCGACCGAAGCCCCCGUGAAUGGCAACCGUAACUAUAACGGUCCUUAGGUAGCAAAAUUCCUUGUCGGGUAAGUUUCGAACCGUACGAAAGGCUUAACAAUAUGGGCAUUGUUUCGGAGAGAGGCUUAGUGAAAUAGACAUGUUUUUUAAGAUGCUCACUUUUCCCGGGGAUUGGCUUUGGGCCUUUCCUGCGGAGCUUAGGUGGAGGGUGAAGAAUGCCUCCUUCUAGAGGGCCCAAGCCAUCAGUGAGAUACUACUAUGGAAGAGCUAGAAUUCUGACCCUGUGUCAGGACCUACGGGCCAAGGGACAGUCUCAGGUAGAUAGUUUCUUUGGGGUGUAGGCCUCCAAAAUUGUAACAGAGGCAUGCAAAGCUUUCCUCAGGGCAAACGGAGAUUGGCCCUCAAGUGCAAAGGCAGAAGGGAGCUUGACUGCAAGACCCACUCAUCGAGCAGGAAUGAAAGUCGGCCUUAGUGAUCCUACGUUGCGGAGUGGAAGGACCGUUGCUCAAUGGAUAAAAGUUACUCUAUGGAUAACAUGCUGAUCUUCCCCAAUAGCUCACAUCGAUGGGAAACUUUGGUACCUUGAUGUCAACUCUUCGCCAUCUGGGGCUGUAGUACGUUCUAAGGGUUAGGCUAUUCGCCCAUUAAAACAGUAUGUGAGUUGGGUUCAGAAUGUCAUGAGAUAGUUCGGUCCAUGGUGUGGGUGUUAGAGCAUUAAGAGGACCUUUCCCUAGUGAGAUGAACCUAGGACGGCCUGCUCCUCAACCCGUAUUAUAUUAGCUCAGAUCUAAUUAUGUUCAAGUUCUAAUGGUCACCUUGACCCCUAACCAACCUGUGAUGGAUGUCCUAUUGGUACUAAUGGUCACCUUGACCCCUAACUAACAUGUGAUUAGAAACCUUGGUAUAUAAUGAAGAUGCCACUAUAGGUGAUGGAAGGCCUAUUGAUAAGUCAAACUAAAACAC
RNAcentral lists this ribosomal RNA (2865 nucleotides) under Ziziphus jujuba (common jujube). RNAcentral's name for it is "bacterial LSU rRNA". The stretch from base 782 to 2865 matches the Rfam family "Bacterial large subunit ribosomal RNA". Lineage: Eukaryota; Viridiplantae; Streptophyta; Magnoliopsida; Rosales; Rhamnaceae. The record is from RNAcentral.